This 1209-nucleotide long non-coding RNA is filed under the name Triticum aestivum (bread wheat). RNAcentral describes it as "long non-coding RNA (TAES_LNC012767)". The record is from RNAcentral. Lineage: Eukaryota; Viridiplantae; Streptophyta; Magnoliopsida; Poales; Poaceae.
AGAUAAAACACAGGACCAUGCAUUACUUUGUAUGACAGAGAUAGGCAUUAAAAUCUAAAGUCUAUACAUGUCUUUGUUCAGAGCACACCCUGACUAAUAAGACCACCACAUCUAGAAUAAAAACAGUAAAGAAUCCCAAGGCCAAAGCACACCCUGAACAUUAACUUGCAUAUUGUUGGCAACAAAAAAGUAGAACUACCAAAAUCAACCCAAUAACUAAUUAGGCCAAACACUAUAGGAGGCAAACAUGUUUAUAGCUGACAAUAGUUUGCAUUCAUAGGGACAGCCGAUCUCUAACUUAGUACCCUAUAUUGUACAACCAUGCAUCUCAUCUCAAAGACCAUUCAGGUUUAUUCAUGUCAUGCUUGAAAUAUAUAUCUGUUACUACAUGGACAAACAUUGGUAUGAGAGAGAAGAAAUCUUUACAUAAGAGACAGAAGAGUUCCUAACCAGACUAAAUCAAGGACCAAUGACGAACAAUAAAAGAUCAAGAACAACUUAUAUGCAAUAAAGUUAUAAGUGAGAAUAAAUCUUUACACAAGACGGCUAUAAACACUGGAGCAUAAGUAAGCAACGCCUUUAAAUACAAAUAAAAAGGGUUUGAUGUUCAUUGCAUAGUGGGCUCAGAUUCGCCUUUCCUUGAUCAUAUAACCUACCCCCAUCAUCUCUUAUCACCAGAUCAAUCUGUUUAUACAAUGGAGCUGCCCUGGUUAUCAAUCAACAAGAAUGACCAUCCAAGGACAGAUCAAUAGGUAUCACAGGAUUAAAAAGGAUUCUAGAGACAACAGGGAGGAUCCAACUUGAUACCCACAGGUACCUCGAUUGCUCAAAGGCACACUUAUUUCAGCCACAGUUAAUCAUCAUCGCCCUAGCACGAAAGCCACCGCCACAGACAAAGCAAAAUGAUGAGAAUACCCUCGGCGGGGCACCAAAAUAAUGCGCGGUGGAACGAAACGGAGUGAAACUAUUCAUUCCAGCAGUGUUUGUCCCAGAUCCAACGGCCCAGGCUUCUCCAGAGCUCGAUCGGACGGACGAGAACGCAUCAAGGGAAACGAUCCGACGGCUGAGAGUGCCUAAGCUCUGAGAGAUCUUGUAGGAGCCUUCUUCUCUUAUUUCUGGAUGUCACAUACAGUAGCCAAAGCAGAGGAACAGGAGGAAGAUGGAGCUCACCGAGGGAGGUUGUAGCCGAGGCAAUACUCAGUGCGCGCC